This 209-nucleotide ribosomal RNA is filed under the name uncultured bacterium. RNAcentral describes it as "partial 16S ribosomal RNA". It matches the Rfam family "Bacterial small subunit ribosomal RNA", at positions 1292 to 1500 of the family's 1533-position model. The record is from RNAcentral.
UUCAGAUUGCAGGCUGCAACUCGCCUGCAUGAAGUCGGAAUUGCUAGUAAUCGUGGACCAGCAUGCCACGGUGAAUACGUUCCCGGGCCUUGUACACACCGCCCGUCACACCAUGGGAGUCGGAAAUGCCCGAAGUCUGUGACCCAACCGCGAGGAGGGAGCAGCCGAAGGCAGGUCGGAUGACUGGGGUGAAGUCGUAACAAGGUACC